UACGUAGGGGGCAAGCGUUGUCCGGAUUUAUUGGGCGUAAAGAGCUCGUAGGCGGCUUGGCAAGUCGGGUGUGAAAACUCCAGGCUCAACCUGGAGAUGCCACUCGAGACUGCUAUGGCUAGAGUCCGGUAGGGGACCACGGAAUUCCUGGUGUAGCGGUGAAAUGCGCAGAUAUCAGGAGGAACACCGGUGGCGAAGGCGGUGGUCUGGGCCGGCACUGACGCUGAGGCGCGAAAGCGUGGGGAGCAAACGGG
This 254-nucleotide ribosomal RNA is filed under the name uncultured bacterium. RNAcentral describes it as "partial 16S ribosomal RNA". It matches the Rfam family "Bacterial small subunit ribosomal RNA", at positions 524 to 776 of the family's 1533-position model. The record is from RNAcentral.